RNAcentral lists this long non-coding RNA (476 nucleotides) under Heterocephalus glaber (naked mole-rat). RNAcentral's name for it is "lncRNA (ENSHGLG00000037017.1)". Lineage: Eukaryota; Metazoa; Chordata; Mammalia; Rodentia; Bathyergidae. The record is from RNAcentral.
CGAGGCCUAGGCAUCCCAGCAACCCCACCUGUGAAAACACUUCAGCCUGGGCCCUAAGCAGAGAUGAACAGCAAGCUGCUCACCAUGCUGACAGCACUUCCCUGUGUGUUUUACUUCAUCAUGAAAUCCAAAUUUGGUGCUGAAGUGCCCAUCUAAGCUCACUCACUUGCCUCUUUAAGACAAGAAGAUAUCCAUGGCUGGAAUGACUUGGGAAUUUGAUAAAAUCAAUUAAGAAUGUCUAUAGAUGGAAAAAACAAAACUCCAUAGUGAUUAGAGGCAAAGGAUGGUCAGCAAAUCAUUGUUUCUGGCUGUAGCUGGAAGCUGACUGCAAUUGAAUAAUAGAACUAACACAGAGUUUCAGAAUCAUGGUGUGCCACUGCUGCUGGAUCCCUUUAAGCAAAAAAUCAUGGUGAAGAACACCAGGGAACUUCCAAUGUAAUCUAAACUUUUAUCCCUUUUUUUGGUCUUUUAAGAGC